This 471-nucleotide ribosomal RNA is filed under the name uncultured Bifidobacterium sp. RNAcentral describes it as "bacterial SSU rRNA". It matches the Rfam family "Bacterial small subunit ribosomal RNA", at positions 204 to 685 of the family's 1533-position model. Lineage: Bacteria; Bacillati; Actinomycetota; Actinomycetes; Bifidobacteriales; Bifidobacteriaceae. The record is from RNAcentral.
AAGCCUUUGCGGCAUGGGAUGGGGUCGCGUCCUAUCAGCUUGAUGGCGGGGUAACGGCCCACCAUGGCUUCGACGGGUAGCCGGCCUGAGAGGGCGACCGGCCACAUUGGGACUGAGAUACGGCCCAGACUCCUACGGGAGGCAGCAGUGGGGAAUAUUGCACAAUGGGCGCAAGCCUGAUGCAGCGACGCCGCGUGAGGGAUGGAGGCCUUCGGGUUGUAAACCUCUUUUGUUAGGGAGCAAGGCACUUUGUGUUGAGUGUACCUUUCGAAUAAGCACCGGCUAACUACGUGCCAGCAGCCGCGGUAAUACGUAGGGUGCAAGCGUUAUCCGGAAUUAUUGGGCGUAAAGGGCUCGUAGGCGGUUCGUCGCGUCCGGUGUGAAAGUCCAUCGCUUAACGGUGGAUCCGCGCCGGGUACGGGCGGGCUUGAGUGCGGUAGGGGAGACUGGAAUUCCCGGUGUAACGGUGGA